RNAcentral lists this ribosomal RNA (465 nucleotides) under Vreelandella stevensii. RNAcentral's name for it is "partial 16S ribosomal RNA". It matches the Rfam family "Bacterial small subunit ribosomal RNA", at positions 338 to 795 of the family's 1533-position model. Lineage: Bacteria; Pseudomonadati; Pseudomonadota; Gammaproteobacteria; Oceanospirillales; Halomonadaceae. The record is from RNAcentral.
CCUACGGGAGGCUGCAGUGGGGAAUAUUGGACAAUGGGGGGAACCCUGAUCCAGCCAUGCCGCGUGUGUGAAGAAGGCCCUCGGGUUGUAAAGCACUUUCAAUGAGGAAGAACGCCUGGUGGUUAAUACCCAUCAGGAAAGACAUCACUCACAGAAGAAGCACCGGCUAACUCCGUGCCAGCAGCCGCGGUAAUACGGAGGGUGCGAGCGUUAAUCGGAAUUACUGGGCGUAAAGCGCGCGUAGGUGGCUUGAUAAGCCGGUUGUGAAAGCCCCGGGCUCAACCUGGGAACGGCAUCCGGAACUGUCAAGCUAGAGUGCAGGAGAGGAAGGUAGAAUUCCCGGUGUAGCGGUGAAAUGCGUAGAGAUCGGGAGGAAUACCAGUGGCGAAGGCGGCCUUCUGGACUGACACUGACACUGAGGUGCGAAAGCGUGGGUAGCAAACAGGAUUAGAUACCCUAGUAGUC